GACGAACGCUGGCGGCGUGCUUAACACAUGCAAGUCGAACGAAGAGCGAUGGAAGCUUGCUUCUAUCAAUCUUAGUGGCGAACGGGUGAGUAACGCGUAAUCAACCUGCCCUUCAGAGGGGGACAACAGUUGGAAACGACUGCUAAUACCGCAUACGAUCUGACCUCGGCAUCGAGGAUAGAUGAAAGGUGGCCUCUACAUGUAAGCUAUCACUGAAGGAGGGGAUUGCGUCUGAUUAGCUAGUUGGAGGGGUAACGGCCCACCAAGGCGAUGAUCAGUAGCCGGUCUGAGAGGAUGAACGGCCACAUAGGGACUGAGAAACGGCCCAGACUCCUACGGGAGGCAGCAGUGGGGAAUCUUCCGAAAUGGACGAAAGUCUGACGGAGCAACACCGCGUGAGUGAUGACGGCCUUCGGGUUGUAAAGCUCUGUUAAUCGGGACGAAAGGCCUUUUUGCGAAUAGUGAGAAGGAUUGACGGUACCGGAAUAGAAAGCCACGGCUAACUACGUG
This 510-nucleotide ribosomal RNA is filed under the name uncultured bacterium. Its description in RNAcentral is "partial 16S ribosomal RNA". It matches the Rfam family "Bacterial small subunit ribosomal RNA", at positions 28 to 507 of the family's 1533-position model. The record is from RNAcentral.